CUACGGGUGGCUGCAGUGGGGAAUUUUGCGCAAUGGGCGAAAGCCUGACGCAGCGACGCCGCGUGAGUGAUGAAGGCCUUCGGGUUGUAAAGCUCUGUGGGGAGGGAAGAAUAAGGCAUGGUUAAUACCCAUGUCGAUGACGGUACCUCCUUAGCAAGCACCGGCUAACUCUGUGCCAGCAGCCGCGGUAGGACAGAGGGUGCGAACGUUGUUCGGAAUUACUGGGCGUAAAGCGCGUGUAGGCGGCUAUGCAAGUCGGGUGUGAAAGCCCUGGGCUUAACCUAGGAAGUGCACUCGAAACUGCAUAGCUCGAGUCCCGGAGAGGAUGGUGGAAUUCUGAGUGUAGAGGUGAAAUUCGUAGAUAUUCAGAGGAACACCGGUGGCGAAGGCGGCCAUCUGGACGGGUACUGACGCUGAGACGCGAAAGCGUGGGUAGCAAGCAGGAUUAGAUACCCGUGUAGUC
This 463-nucleotide ribosomal RNA is filed under the name uncultured bacterium. RNAcentral describes it as "partial 16S ribosomal RNA". It matches the Rfam family "Bacterial small subunit ribosomal RNA", at positions 339 to 795 of the family's 1533-position model. The record is from RNAcentral.